Molecule: non-coding RNA, 90 nt
Organism: Podarcis lilfordi (Lilford's wall lizard)
Lineage: Eukaryota; Metazoa; Chordata; Lepidosauria; Squamata; Lacertidae
Source: the annotation of a GenBank genome assembly
UCUCCAGUUGUUUUCGGACUACAGUUCCCACAAUCCUUGACCAUGGCUAGCAAGGGAUGAUGGGAGUUGUAGUCCAACAACAGCUGGAGA